This 442-nucleotide ribosomal RNA is filed under the name uncultured bacterium. RNAcentral describes it as "partial 16S ribosomal RNA". It matches the Rfam family "Bacterial small subunit ribosomal RNA", at positions 338 to 795 of the family's 1533-position model. The record is from RNAcentral.
CCUACGGGAGGCAGCAGUGGGGGAUAUUGCACAAUGGGGGAAACCCUGAUGCAGCGACGCCGCGGGGGCGAAGAAGGAGUUCGGGAGGGAAAGCCCGAUCAGCAGGGAAGAAGAAAUGACGGGACCUGAGUAAGAAGCACCGGCUAAAGACGUGCCAGCAGCCGCGGUAAUACGUAGGGUGCAAGCGUUAUCCGGAUUUACUGGGUGAAAAGGGAGCGCAGGCGGCACGGCAAGCCUGAUGUGAAAGCCCGCGGCCCAACCGCGGGACUGCCUUGGGAACUACCGGGCUGGAGUGCCGGAGCGGUAGGCGGAAUUCCUAGUGUAGCGGUGACAUGCUUAGAUAUUAGGCGGAACACCAGUGGCGAAGGCGGCCUACUGGACGGUGACUGACGCUGAGGCUCGAAAGCGUGGGGAGCAAACAGGAUUAGAUCCCCUUGUAGUC